CCCUUAGAUGUUCUGGGCCGCACGCGCGCUACAAUGGUCUUCGCAAACGGAUGCAUUCUCGAAGGAGAAUGCCAAUCUUGGAAUCUAUGCCUUGGUCGGGACAGUUGCUUGCAAUUUUUCGACUCGAACCAGGAAUUCCUUGUAAUCGUGAUUCAUCACAUCACGAUGAAUACGUCCCUGCCCUUUGUACACACCGCCCGUCGCUCCGACCGAUCGAAGAGUUAGGUGAAUUGUUUUGAUCGAUAAGAUUUGACUAUGGUCAACUCUCGUUGUGAAAUUCUGUGAAUCUGACUGUUUAGAGGAAGGAAAAGUCGUAACA
Molecule: ribosomal RNA, 319 nt
Filed under: uncultured eukaryote
Lineage: Eukaryota
Description: partial 18S ribosomal RNA
Rfam family: Eukaryotic small subunit ribosomal RNA
Source: RNAcentral